GACGAACGCUGGCGGCGUGCUUAACACAUGCAAGUCGAACGGAAAGGCCCUGCUUUUGUGGGGUGCUCGAGUGGCGAACGGGUGAGUAACACGUGAGUAACCUGCCCUUGACUUUGGGAUAACUUCAGGAAACUGGGGCUAAUACCGGAUAGGAGCUCCUGCUGCAUGGUGGGGGUUGGAAAGUUUCGGCGGUUGGGGAUGGACUCGCGGCUUAUCAGCUUGUUGGUGGGGUAGUGGCUUACCAAGGCUUUGACGGGUAGCCGGCCUGAGAGGGUGACCGGCCACAUUGGGACUGAGGUACGGCCCAGACUCCUACGGGAGGCAGCAGGGGGGAAUAUUGCACAAUGGGCGGAAGCCUGAUGCAGCAACGCCGCGGGCGGGAUGACGGCCUUCGGGUUGUAAACCGCUUUCGCCUGUGACGAAGCGUGAGUGACGGUAAUGGGUAAAGAAGCACCGGCUAACUACGUG
RNAcentral lists this ribosomal RNA (468 nucleotides) under uncultured bacterium. RNAcentral describes it as "partial 16S ribosomal RNA". It matches the Rfam family "Bacterial small subunit ribosomal RNA", at positions 28 to 507 of the family's 1533-position model. The record is from RNAcentral.